GAUGAACGCUGGCGGCGUGCCUAAUACAUGCAAGUCGAGCGAACGGACGUGAAGCUUGCUUUUCUGAUGUUAGCGGCGGACGGGUGAGUAACACGUGGAUAACCUACCUAUAAGACUGGGAUAACUUCGGGAAACCGGAGCUAAUACCGGAUAAUAUUUUGAACCGCAUGGUUCAAAAGUGAAAGACGGUCUUGCUGUCACUUAUAGAUGGAUCCGCGCUGCAUUAGCUAGUUGGUAAGGUAACGGCUUACCAAGGCAACGAUGCAUAGCCGACCUGAGAGGGUGAUCGGCCACACUGGAACUGAGACACGGUCCGGACUCCUACGGGAGGCAGCAGUAGGGAAUCUUCCGCAAUGGGCGAAAGCCUGACGGAGCAACGCCGCGUGAGUGAUGAAGGUCUUCGGAUCGUAAAACUCUGUUAUUAGGGAAGAACAUAUGUGUAAGUAACUGUGCACAUCUUGACGGUACCUAAUCAGAAAGCCACGGCUAACUACGUG
RNAcentral lists this ribosomal RNA (497 nucleotides) under uncultured bacterium. RNAcentral describes it as "partial 16S ribosomal RNA". It matches the Rfam family "Bacterial small subunit ribosomal RNA", at positions 28 to 507 of the family's 1533-position model. The record is from RNAcentral.